CACGUAGUUAGCCGAGGCUUCUUAGUCAGGUACCGUCUUGUCUCGUUCCUGCUGAUAGAGCUUUACAUACCGAAAUACUUCUUCACUCACGCGGCGUCGCUGCAUCAGGGUUUCCCCCAUUGUGCAAUAUUCCCCACUGCUGCCUCCCGUAGGAGUUUGGGCCGUGUCUCAGUCCCAAUGUGGCCGUCCACCCUCUCAGGCCGGCUACUGAUCGUCGCUUUGGUAGGCCGUUACCCUGCCAACUGGCUAAUCAGACGCGGGUCCAUCCCAUACCACGGAGUUUUUCACGCAGGAGCAUGCGCUCCCGUGCGCUUAUGCGGUAUUAGCACCUGUUUCCAGGUGGUAUCCCCCGGUAUGGGGCAGGUUACCCACGCGUUACUCACCCGUCCGCCACUAAGAUACUCAUUUCCAAAGUGCAAGCACUCCUUCCAUAAGCAUCCCCGUUCGACUUGCAUGUGUUAAGCACGCCGCAGCGUUCAUCCUGAGCCAGGCUACAAACUU
Molecule: ribosomal RNA, 501 nt
Filed under: uncultured Lachnospiraceae bacterium
Lineage: Bacteria; Bacillati; Bacillota; Clostridia; Lachnospirales; Lachnospiraceae
Description: partial 16S ribosomal RNA
Source: RNAcentral